This 227-nucleotide long non-coding RNA is filed under the name Ananas comosus (pineapple). RNAcentral's name for it is "long non-coding RNA (ACOM_LNC010299)". Lineage: Eukaryota; Viridiplantae; Streptophyta; Magnoliopsida; Poales; Bromeliaceae. The record is from RNAcentral.
AGCUUAAUUGAAAAGCCGAAAAGGUUGAAAAAAUUGAAUAUUUUAGAAUUUUCAGAGUUAUAAGGUAAUAGGAUGAAAAGAUGCUCAAAGAGCCACCCCCGGUGCCAUAUUAGUCAAAAUCUCUAUUUUGAACGAGUUGCGACAAAUUGGUGUCAAUUUUGUUGAAUUUCUAAAAAUCAUUUUUCAUCAACUUACAUCUUGAUAGUUUUGAAUCAUUAGAUUAUUUU